Molecule: long non-coding RNA, 509 nt
Filed under: Gossypium raimondii (Peruvian cotton)
Lineage: Eukaryota; Viridiplantae; Streptophyta; Magnoliopsida; Malvales; Malvaceae
Description: long non-coding RNA (GRAI_LNC009197)
Source: RNAcentral
UUCCAGUGUUUGAGAAUCGCCACCUUCAGCUCCAUCAAGCCUCAUAUUUGCUUCUGUCAUUUCUACAUCUGGUUCCGGAAGUCGUUGCUGUAGGGGCACUGCAUCACUGAUAAUUUGACCUGUUCUUAAUCUUUCCCUGUAAUCCUCCAUCUCAAUCCUAUAUCUUUCUUUGUCUUUGAGCGCUUUGUCCUGAUAGACCUGAGCAAUGACAAAAAGUCCAAGAAGUAAUAACUUAAGAACAUACUAUAAAAGAGAAAAUAGUUAUAAAACAUGUUCAGUUAUUGAAUUACGGAAUAAUUUACGGCUCUUACUGUUUUUUCUGAUUCAGUUAAGUUGUUCCAUAAUUCACCAAUCAUUCUACUAAUCUCUCUGUCCUUUCCAGGGUGAAGUGGUUUCAGCCUUGCGUGCUGCUCAGCAAAAAAGAAAUUAUACCCACUCCUGUUAGGUUUCGGAUGAGCAGGGUCCCUCCGUUUUAUCUCAGAUUUCUUCCGGCGCCUCCGACGUUGCAC